UAAGCCACCUGAUUUCAGUUUGAUUUUGGUAUUGAAAUGGGCGAAGUUAGAGUGCAUGCCAGUUUAAUCGUAGAGGACGUAGCUAGCUUUCUUUCAGCAGCUAAGAAGCUUGUCGAAGAAACCCAGAAAGAAGUAGGAUGUUUGCACUACCAACUGUACAAAGAGACAGGCAAGGAACACUGUUUCGCAAUGAUAGAAACAUGGGAAUCUGUAGAAAAAGAAGCAGCGCACAUGGAAACUGAACAUGUGAAACGAUUUCUUGAAUCGCAAAGAACCAAUGUCACUAUUCACAUCAAGAGAUUCAAUCAAAGAAGAGACCAGGCACCCCUUUACACUCGGCCAUCAUCAGCACUUUCAGCAAAUCAAAGGGACCCAUCACGUUUUAUGGCCAGCCGCAUUGAGGCAAAAGCAAAACCAUUUAGUUGAAUUAACUCACGAGCGAAGAACAUCACAAACUUCUUUCCAAAUGGUUUCUAUCCACGAAGAAACUGCUAACUGCACAAUGUUACCCGGUUAUAUAAAAAGCUGCAUGACAAAAAAUGUU
Long non-coding RNA from Symsagittifera roscoffensis, 544 nucleotides. RefSeq lists it as uncharacterized. The record is from RefSeq and is a predicted model, not a curated record. The transcript has 3 exons. Lineage: Eukaryota; Metazoa; Xenacoelomorpha; Acoela; Convolutidae.